AGAGUUUGAUCCUGGCUCAGGAUGAACGCUGGCGGCGUGCCUAAUACAUGCAAGUCGAGCGAACGGACGAGAAGCUUGCUUCUCUGAUGUUAGCGGCGGACGGGUGAGUAACACGUGGAUAACCUACCUAUAAGACUGGGAUAACUUCGGGAAACCGGAGCUAAUACCGGAUAAUAUUUUGAACCGCAUGGUUCAAAAGUAAAAGACGGUCUUGCUGUCACUUAUAGAUGGAUCCGCGCUGCAUUAGCUAGUUGGUAAGGUAACGGCUUACCAAGGCAACGAUGCAUAGCCGACCUGAGAGGGUGAUCGGCCACACUGGAACUGAGACACGGUCCAGACUCCUACGGGAGGCAGCAGUAGGGAAUCUUCCGCAAUGGGCGAAAGCCUGACGGAGCAACGCCGCGUGAGUGAUGAAGGUCUUCGGAUCGUAAAACUCUGUUAUUAGGGAAGAACAUAUGUGUAAGUAACUGUGCACAUCUUGACGGUACCUAAUCAGAAAGCCACGGCUAACUACGUGCCAGCAGCCGCGGUAAUACGUAGGUGGCAAGCGUUAUCCGGAAUUAUUGGGCGUAAAGCGCGCGUAGGCGGUUUUUUAAGUCUGAUGUGAAAGCCCACGGCUCAACCGUGGAGGGUCAUUGGAAACUGGAAAACUUGAGUGCAGAAGAGGAAAGUGGAAUUCCAUGUGUAGCGGUGAAAUGCGCAGAGAUAUGGAGGAACACCAGUGGCGAAGGCGACUUUCUGGUCUGUAACUGACGCUGAUGUGCGAAAGCGUGGGGAUCAAACAGGAUUAGAUACCCUGGUAGUCCACGCCGUAAACGAUGAGUGCUAAGUGUUAGGGGGUUUCCGCCCCUUAGUGCUGCAGCUAACGCAUUAAGCACUCCGCCUGGGGAGUACGACC
This 898-nucleotide ribosomal RNA is filed under the name Staphylococcus aureus DAR1941. RNAcentral's name for it is "bacterial SSU rRNA". It matches the Rfam family "Bacterial small subunit ribosomal RNA", at positions 8 to 887 of the family's 1533-position model. The record is from RNAcentral. Lineage: Bacteria; Bacillati; Bacillota; Bacilli; Caryophanales; Staphylococcaceae.